RNAcentral lists this ribosomal RNA (867 nucleotides) under Wardomycopsis longicatenata. RNAcentral describes it as "eukaryotic LSU rRNA". It matches the Rfam family "Eukaryotic large subunit ribosomal RNA", at positions 58 to 948 of the family's 3401-position model. The record is from RNAcentral. Lineage: Eukaryota; Fungi; Ascomycota; Sordariomycetes; Microascales; Microascaceae.
AAAGAAACCAACAGGGAUUGCCCCAGUAACGGCGAGUGAAGCGGCAACAGCUCAAAUUUGAAAUCUGGCCCCCCCCCGCCGGGGCCCGAGUUGUAAUUUGAAGAGGAUGCUUUUGGCGAGGCGCCUUCCGAGUGCCCUGGAACGGGACGCCACAGAGGGUGAGAGCCCCGUAUGGUCGGACGCCGAGCCUCUGUAAAGCUCCUUCGACGAGUCGAGUAGUUUGGGAAUGCUGCUCAAAAUGGGAGGUAAACCCCUUCUAAAGCUAAAUACUGGCCAGAGACCGAUAGCGCACAAGUAGAGUGAUCGAAAGAUGAAAAGCACUUUGAAAAGAGAGUUAAACAGCACGUGAAAUUGUUGAAAGGGAAGCGCUUGCGACCAGACUCGCGCCCGCCGGAUCAGCCGUCGCUCGUCGGCGGCGCACUCCGGCGGGCUCGGGCCAGCAUCGGUUCGCCUCGGGGGGAGAAAGGCGGCGGGAAUGUGGCUCUGCGGAGUGUUAUAGCCCGCCGCGCAAUACCCCCGGGCGGACCGAGGACCGCGCGUAUGCAAGGAUGCUGGCGUAAUGGUCGUCAGCGACCCGUCUUGAAACACGGACCAAGGAGUCGUCCUAGUAUGCGAGUGUUCGGGUGUCAAACCCCUGCGCGUAAUGAAAGUGAACGGAGGUGAGAGCUUCGGCGCAUCAUCGACCGAUCCUGAUGUUCUCGGAUGGAUUUGAGUAAGAGCAUACUGGGCCGGACCCGAAAGAAGGUGAACUAUGCCUGUAUAGGGUAAAGCCAGAGGAAACUCUGGUGGAGGCUCGCAGCGGUUCUGACGUGCAAAUCGAUCGUCAAAUAUGGGCAUGGGGGCGAAAGACUAAUCGAACCUUCUAGU